Homo sapiens (human) is the source of this 336-nucleotide long non-coding RNA. The record is from Ensembl. Lineage: Eukaryota; Metazoa; Chordata; Mammalia; Primates; Hominidae.
UGGGGAGUUCUGGGGGCCAUAGGGUCUGCCUGAGUGUAGGAAUUGGAGACUGGGGGACUACAGGGAAGGGAGUCAGUGCCUGGGAGGGUGGGGUCUGAGUGUUUGGAGGGGCUGGAGAGGAUGUGGGGACAGAGCCUGUUGUACCGAGGGUAGAGCUUGUGGCAGAGUGGCCAGGGUCCAGGGCAGGAGGAACAGGACUGGGGUGCUCUCCAUGGGUGGGAGCUGGGUGUGUAGGUGGGCUAGGUCCCCAGGCUAGGCUUUCUGGGCCAACGGCCUCCACUGAAGCCUCAGCCAAGGCAGCAUCUACACUAGCCUCACUGAUGUGGCUCAGAGUCC